GACGAACGCUGGCGGCGUGCUUAACACAUGCAAGUCGAACGGAAAGGCCCUGCUUUUGUGGGGUGCUCGAGUAGCGAACGGGUGAGUAACACGUGAGUAACCUGUCACUGACUUUGGGAUAACUUCAGGAAACUGGGGCUAAUACCGGAUAGGAGCUCCUGCUGCAUGGUGGGGGUUGGAAAGUUUCGGUGGUUGGGGAUGGACUCGCGGCUUAUCAGCUUGUUGGGGGGGUAGUGGCUUACCAAGGCUUUGACGGGUAGCCGGCCUGGGCGGGUGACCGGCCACAUUGGGACUGGGAUACGGCCCAGCCCCCUCCGGGAGGCAGCAGGGGGGAAUAUUGCACAAUGGGCGGAAGCCGGAGCCAGCAAGGCCGCGGGCGGGAUAACGGCCUCCGGUUGGUAAACCGCUUUCGCCUGCGACGAGGCGUGAGUGACGGUAAUGGGUAAAGAAGCACCGGCUAACUACGUG
This 468-nucleotide ribosomal RNA is filed under the name uncultured bacterium. RNAcentral's name for it is "partial 16S ribosomal RNA". It matches the Rfam family "Bacterial small subunit ribosomal RNA", at positions 28 to 507 of the family's 1533-position model. The record is from RNAcentral.